ACAUCCGAAUAAGAUUAUAUGAGUGAAAUGUGACAUAUAU
This 40-nucleotide non-coding RNA is filed under the name Trypanosoma brucei brucei. Lineage: Eukaryota; Euglenozoa; Kinetoplastea; Trypanosomatida; Trypanosomatidae. The record is from RNAcentral.